GACGAACGCUGGCGGCGUGCCUAAUACAUGCAAGUAGAACGCUGAAGGAGGAGCUUGCUCUUCUGGAUGAGUUGCGAACGGGUGAGUAACGCGUAGGUAACCUGCCUGGUAGCGGGGGAUAACUAUUGGAAACGAUAGCUAAUACCGCAUAAGAGUAGAUGUUGCAUGACAUUUGCUUAAAAGGUGCAAUUGCAUCACUACCAGAUGGACCUGCGUUGUAUUAGCUAGUUGGUGGGGUAACGGCUCACCAAGGCGACGAUACAUAGCCGACCUGAGAGGGGGAUCGGCCACACUGGGACUGAGACACGGCCCAAACUCCUACGGGAGGCAGCAGUAGGGAAUCUUCGGCAAUGGACGGAAGUCUGACCGAGCAACGCCGCGUGAGUGAAGAAGGUUUUCGGAUCGUAAAGCUCUGUUGUAAGAGAAGAACGAGUGUGAGAGUGGAAAGUUCACACUGUGACGGUAUCUUACCAGAAAGGGACGGCUAACUACGUG
This 495-nucleotide ribosomal RNA is filed under the name uncultured bacterium. RNAcentral's name for it is "partial 16S ribosomal RNA". It matches the Rfam family "Bacterial small subunit ribosomal RNA", at positions 28 to 507 of the family's 1533-position model. The record is from RNAcentral.